GAUGAACGCUGGCGGCGUGCUUAACACAUGCAAGUCGAACGAUGAAGCCCAGCUUGCUGGGUGGAUUAGUGGCGAACGGGUGAGUAACACGUGAGUAACCUGCCCUUAACUCUGGGAUAAGCCUGGGAAACUGGGUCUAAUACCGGAUAGGAGCGUCCACCGCAUGGUGGGUGUUGGAAAGAUUUAUCGGUUUUGGAUGGACUCGCGGCCUAUCAGCUUGUUGGUGAGGUAAUGGCUCACCAAGGCGACGACGGGUAGCCGGCCUGAGAGGGUGACCGGCCACACUGGGACUGAGACACGGCCCAGACUCCUACGGGAGGCAGCAGUGGGGAAUAUUGCACAAUGGGCGCAAGCCUGAUGCAGCGACGCCGCGUGAGGGAUGACGGCCUUCGGGUUGUUAAACCUCUUUCAGUAGGGAAGAAGCGAAAGUAACGGUACCUGCAGAAGAAGCACCGGCUAACUACGUG
RNAcentral lists this ribosomal RNA (467 nucleotides) under uncultured bacterium. RNAcentral's name for it is "partial 16S ribosomal RNA". It matches the Rfam family "Bacterial small subunit ribosomal RNA", at positions 28 to 507 of the family's 1533-position model. The record is from RNAcentral.